RNAcentral lists this ribosomal RNA (508 nucleotides) under uncultured Acidobacteriota bacterium. RNAcentral describes it as "bacterial SSU rRNA". It matches the Rfam family "Bacterial small subunit ribosomal RNA", at positions 1 to 521 of the family's 1533-position model. Lineage: Bacteria; Pseudomonadati; Acidobacteriota. The record is from RNAcentral.
AAAAAAAAGAGUUUGAUCUUGGCUCAGAAUCAACGCUGGCGGCGUGCCUCAGACAUGCAAGUCGAACGAUUAAGACUUCCUUCGGGAAGUGCAUAAAGUGGCGCACGGGUGAGUAACACGUAAGUAAUCUACCCUCGAGUGGGGAAUAACGUUCGGAAACGAACGCUAAUACCGCAUAAUGCAGCGGCAUCGUAAGAUGACAGUUGUUAAAGGAGUAAUUCGCUUGAGGAGGAGCUUGCGGCAGAUUAGCUAGUUGGUAAGGUAACGGCUUACCAAGGCUACGAUCUGUAUCCGGUCUAAGAGGACGGUCGGACACACUGACACUGAAUAACGGGUCAGACUCCUACGGGAGGCAGCAGUCGGGAAUUUUGGGCAAUGGGCGAAAGCCUGACCCAGCAACGCCGCGUGAAGGAUGAAGUAUUUCGGUAUGUAAACUUCGAAAGAAUGGGAAGAAUAAAUGACGGUACCAUUUAUAAGCUCCGGCUAACUACGUGCCAGCAGCCGCCGU